AUGAUCCACAAGAGCAACUUGAAGAGCAAGAGAGUCAGCACCAUCAAAAUCAAGCUACCCUUGCGCAAGCACAAGAAAGGCAACGCCAAUGCGAACAAGAGGAAGUGCAAGAACGCCAACGCCAAUGAGAGCAAAUCCAAGAGCGACAACGCCAACAUCAAGAUGAGCAAGACGCCGACGCUCUCCGUCAACAACAACAAUGGCGUGAAGCACAAGCCCUUGAGGCGCAACGUGCCCUCCUUGACACCAGUCGUGUCGUCGCCGCUGAUACGUCUCCGUCGUAUCUAUAAUUUUUUAUUGUUCCAUGCCAACAUUCUACAACUUUCAUAUACUUUUGGCAACUUUUUAUAUUAUUUUUUGGGACUAACAUAUUGA
RNAcentral lists this ribosomal RNA (375 nucleotides) under Triticum aestivum (bread wheat). RNAcentral's name for it is "partial small subunit ribosomal RNA". Lineage: Eukaryota; Viridiplantae; Streptophyta; Magnoliopsida; Poales; Poaceae. The record is from RNAcentral.